AUGGCGGCUGAGGCGCUGGUGAGCAUCUCUACAGGGGUGAUCAACUCUGUCUUAGAGAAGCUAGCCACUUUAAUGGGGGAGCAGUACACAAAGCACAAGAGCAUGCAGCGAGAGGUGGCGUUUCUCAAGGAUGAGCUCAGCAGCAUCGAUGCUGUCCUCAAGAAGCUCGAGAACAUGGAAGAUGAACUGGAUCCACAGACCAGGGAGUGGAAGAACCAGGUGAUGGAAAUGGCGUUCCACAUCGAGGACUGCAUCGACGACUUUAUGCAUGAAUCUGGUGAGGAUUCUAACAGAGGAGGUGUUGGCUUUGUUGGCAAAAUUGCUCAGUACAUCAACGCGUUGAGAACGCGUCACCAAUUUGCCAAACAAAUCCAACAGCUGAAGACAUUGGUCAAAGACGUCAGUGAGCGCCGGAAAAGGUAUAAGCUUGAUGAGUGUGCCCCUAGUUCUAGCUAUGUAGUUGUAGAUCCUCGGGUGCCUGCCCUCUACACAGAGGCGGACAACCUUGUUGGCAUGGAGGGUCCAAAAGAGGAGCUUAUCAAAUUGUUGACGGCCGGGGGGACUGCAUCUGUCCAGCCUCCUAGAGUGGUGUCUAUUGUUGGGUUUGGGGGUCUAGGAAAAACCACACUUGCAAAUCAAGUAUACCAUGAGCUUGGAGAGCAAUAUGACUGCAAGGUUUUUGUGUCCAUAUCACAAACACCUAAUAUGAUGAAGCUUCUCGGUAGGAUCAUCAAAAAACUUAAGAUGCCACAACCAACCCAUACAGACAAGGCGCAAGAUCUCAUUGACACCAUCAGAGAACAUCUAAGAGAAAAAAAGGUACUUUUUCAUCAUUGA
This 837-nucleotide ribosomal RNA is filed under the name Triticum aestivum (bread wheat). RNAcentral's name for it is "partial small subunit ribosomal RNA". The record is from RNAcentral. Lineage: Eukaryota; Viridiplantae; Streptophyta; Magnoliopsida; Poales; Poaceae.